CGGGGAAUAUUGCACAAUGGAGGGAACUCUGCUGCAGCGACGCCGCGUGAACGAAGAAGGCUUUCGAGUCGUAAAGUUCUUUUAUAUGGGAAGAUAAUGACGGUACCAUAAGAAAAAGCCCCGGCUAACUACGUGCCAGCAGCCGCGGUAAUACGUAGGGGGCUAGCGUUGUCCGGAAUCACUGGGCGUAAAGGGUUCGCAGGCGGAAAUGCAAGUCAGGUGUAAAAGGCAGUAGCUUAACUACUGUAAGCAUUUGAAACUGCAUAUCUUGAGAAGAGUAGAGGUAAGUGGAAUUUUUAGUGUAGCGGUGAAAUGCGUAGAUAUUAAAAAGAAUACCGGUGGCGAAGGCGACUUACUGGGCUCAUUCUGACGCUGAGGGACGAAAGCGUGGGUAGCAAACAGG
This 403-nucleotide ribosomal RNA is filed under the name Fusobacteriota bacterium. Its description in RNAcentral is "Fusobacteria bacterium partial 16S ribosomal RNA". It matches the Rfam family "Bacterial small subunit ribosomal RNA", at positions 355 to 776 of the family's 1533-position model. Lineage: Bacteria; Fusobacteriati; Fusobacteriota. The record is from RNAcentral.